This is a non-coding RNA of Lolium perenne, 2237 nucleotides long. The record is from RefSeq and is a predicted model, not a curated record. Lineage: Eukaryota; Viridiplantae; Streptophyta; Magnoliopsida; Poales; Poaceae.
AACGCAAUACACAUCCUGUCGCCUCCUUCCCGAGAAAUCCUCAUCCCGUCGCCUCCCUCUCGUCGCCCUCCGCUCCGCCGCACCCUCGCCACCGUCGUCCGUCGACAGCCACCACGUCCUCGCUCGCGUCGCCUGCUCCGACGCUCGCUCGCCAGCCUACUUCCUUCCCCUCGCCUCUCCGCCUUCCAUCAUCCGCACAAUCAGAACCCAACGAGGAGGCGACGGGAUCCCCUUUUCUGCAAAGCGCUCAAAUUUGCCGGCUCGGGCGGCGGUGCUCCGCCGCUCCUCUUCCUUUCAUAUGACUACGGCCUGUGUCGCCGCGCCGCUCUCCCGUGGGCACCAGAGUCGCCGCUUGGAGGAGGGUCGGGCCGUCCUAGGUCCCCAGAUGUGGUCGCCGGGGAGGAAAAGCGGCGCACCUCCCGAUGCCCGCGACGCCACAAGUCCGUGAUGGCACAGCCCACGGUUGGGUGUUCGACAUCGAUGAGACGCUGCUCUCGAACCUCGCCUAUUACGUGCAGCACGGAUAAUGACCAUCCUUGCCGUUGUCUUGUCCGCGCCGCCUGCAGCACGACCAUCUCCCUAUGUCGUCACGCCCAGAUGUACCGCCGUCCCCGUCAAUUUGCAUUCAUCUGGGCCAGGAGGACGUGGACUGCCCUUCCCAACGCUGAUGUCGUCCGCUCCCCAGCCUACAGGAAGCGCUAUUGAAUUGCGACUCAAUCCGGGCGACUUUCCAUGCUGAUCCAUAGAGACCGUUUUCAUAUAUUUCUACACACAUCUCCAAGCUACAUUUGAGGAGAACAUACAGAUGGUCAUAUUAUUUUGUUCAACUAUGAUACAAGAUAGGGAGAUGAUGUGGGUUGCCAUUUUGGAACCAGAGCCUAAGCAAGAGCAUUGCAAGGCGAUAUGGGAGCUCAGAAAGUCGCCAUAAAACUACCGUUUAAGACCAGGUUGAAAGUUUGUUUGUGUUUACUGCAACUCGCAUGAUGCAGCGUGGCGGUGGCGCGGAGGACCAAGCGGGAAGUGAACCAUCAGCCUUUGAGUUACCUGUCACCCUUGGCAUCGAGAAGAUGACACCCAAGCCGUCUUACACCACAGAUAUUGGCGGUUGGUCCAGCAGGUGAAAGUUAGACAAAGUUGGCCAGUAUACACUCACUAUCACAAUCACUAUCACCGGGAAGCCCAACAUCAAGUGGAACUAUGUUGCCGGCUACGAGAGCACCAAGUAGACUGAUCAAGUUCCCACAGUUUUCACAGAAUGAUCUCCACAGGUAACCUCCGGUGAGGAUGCAAGCUGCAAGCGCUCCUCGAGUCAGCCUGUCCCGAAAACCCGAUGCACAAUAAGGCAUGGAACAUCCCAGGCAAGGAGUUAUCAUGGCAGCAGAUGUCUAAAACAUUGCACGUGCCCUGAGAAGAAAGAUAGGACAGAACAAAUGCUGGCAAAGAUGAAGGAACAAAGAGUGUUUCUUCUGCAAAUGAGGCAUGAGAAGAAAGAUAGAAGAGAUGAAUCCACUGAUUUCAACGUAUAGGUGGAGCGAGAUAAUGCAAGUAGUUGAGUAUCGCCGCGGAGACGAAGGUGGAGGUAGACUUGAGAGAUAGAAGAAUGUGUUAAAGGUGGCAUAAACCUCUUCAAAGUUUCCCUCGAGAUCGAAGAAUGUGUUAAACGUGGCAUAAAUCUCUUCAAAGUUUCCCUUGAGAUCGAAGAAUGUACAUGGCGAAGCGAUUGGGGUUGAAAGCCAUGACCUCUCCCUGGUUGCUGCUGCCACAUCUGAGUGCAGCGAGAGCGGAGGGCGAGCCAUGGACGCGGUGGUGGAGAUCUUGACGAGACUGCACCUCUCGUCCUGGCUACCAUCGUCGACUUGCCGUGGUCCAACGCCGCCACAAGGGGCUCUUGCCUUACGGGGUUAUCAUGAUCCAUUAUAUGCAACCAUGGAGUGGCCCAGUUGGAGUGGAUUUGGAUUGUACAUUUGUCCUACCAGGGAUCUGAGGAUUGGAGAUUGAAGAAGAUGAAUCAUGUACUGGCAGCUUUGUAGCGUAGUAUGCAGAAACUUUGCUUCACAAAGAACCUAAAGACACGAUCAGAAGUUGCCCAUAUACCAGCUACCUGGAUAGUACCAUCCCUGUCCCUAACCCACUGUAAUUUGCUUUUAGAUUGUUGUUCAACUGAAACAAGUAGUACCUUAUGUGACCCUGAUGCUAUGUGCUCCUCUUUCGGCUGGGUGGAUUUGAUUCUUGAACAA